UACGAAGGGGGCUAGCGUUGCUCGGAAUCACUGGGCGUAAAGCGUGCGUAGGCGGACUCUUAAGUCGGUGGUGAAAUCCUGGAGCUCAACUCCAGAACUGCCUUCGAUACUGAGAGUCUCGAGUCCGGGAGAGGUGAGUGGAACUGCGAGUGUAGAGGUGAAAUUCGUAGAUAUUCGCAAGAACACCAGUGGCGAAGGCGGCUCACUGGCCCGGUACUGACGCUGAGGUGCGAAAGCGUGGGGAGCAAACAGG
RNAcentral lists this ribosomal RNA (253 nucleotides) under uncultured bacterium. RNAcentral's name for it is "partial 16S ribosomal RNA". It matches the Rfam family "Bacterial small subunit ribosomal RNA", at positions 524 to 776 of the family's 1533-position model. The record is from RNAcentral.